GGGACCUGCCCGAAACGCUACGCGUACUAGUGGCUGUACAAGAAUGUAACAACUCUUGAAUAAUCAAGCAUACCUUUGACUUUAAGGAAAAGGACGUAGUAAUUCAA
Procambarus clarkii (red swamp crayfish) is the source of this 107-nucleotide non-coding RNA. Lineage: Eukaryota; Metazoa; Arthropoda; Malacostraca; Decapoda; Cambaridae. The record is from RefSeq and is a predicted model, not a curated record.